CAGAUGACAAAUGACUCAAUUCAAAGAUAUAUCCACCCAAGAAAUGUGCAAACUUCAAGACUCUUCAAAAUUCUAACACAAGUGGGCCAUAGUUGCUAUCCUUUUACUUCAACAGCCCAAUGCAGUGAUUCUUCUUAGAAACUAAUGCUGCUUAGAUCCCAGGUUCAGAACUUACAGCUUUACCAACUACAAAUGCAAAGUGGAAGUAAA
Molecule: long non-coding RNA, 210 nt
Organism: Juglans microcarpa x Juglans regia
Lineage: Eukaryota; Viridiplantae; Streptophyta; Magnoliopsida; Fagales; Juglandaceae
Exons: 2
Source: RefSeq, a predicted model, not a curated record